UAAAUACUCCUGACUGACCGAUAGUGAACCAGUACCGUGAGGGAAAGGCGAAAAGAACCCCGGCGAGGGGAGUGAAAAAGAACCUGAAACCGUGUACGUACAAGCAGUGGGAGCACCUUCGGGUGUGACUGCGUACCUUUUGUAUAAUGGGUCAGCGACUUAUAUUCUGUAGCAAGGUUAACCGUAUAGGGGAGCCGCAGGGAAACCGAGUCUUAACUGGGCGUUAAGUUGCAGGGUAUAGACCCGAAACCCGGUGAUCUAGCCAUGGGCAGGUUGAAGGUUGGGUAACACUAACUGGAGGACCGAACCGACUAAUGUUGAAAAAUUAGCGGAUGACUUGUGGCUGGGGGUGAAAGGCCAAUCAAACCGGGAGAUAGCUGGUUCUCCCCGAAAGCU
This 396-nucleotide ribosomal RNA is filed under the name Klebsiella pneumoniae. RNAcentral's name for it is "partial 23S ribosomal RNA". It matches the Rfam family "Bacterial large subunit ribosomal RNA", at positions 467 to 867 of the family's 2925-position model. The record is from RNAcentral. Lineage: Bacteria; Pseudomonadati; Pseudomonadota; Gammaproteobacteria; Enterobacterales; Enterobacteriaceae.